Long non-coding RNA from Hyaena hyaena (striped hyena), 616 nucleotides. RefSeq lists it as uncharacterized. NCBI's taxonomy places the organism in Eukaryota, Metazoa, Chordata, Mammalia, Carnivora, Hyaenidae. The transcript is spliced from 3 exons. The record is from RefSeq and is a predicted model, not a curated record.
UUUUUCCCAAGAAACAAAAUCAAGCCCACCUCACGUUAGCAGCACUGACAAGAAUAUGAGAAGAACAAGAAACAAACAUUGGUGCCUGGCCACCCACUAGCUUGUAGCUUUUUGACUUCUAGCAUGGCCUUGAGCUCCAGCUUCCUAUUACAACUUCUGUGGUAUUUGCCAUUCUACUUCUUGGUUUUGCAAAACUAUUUGCCAAAACAUGAUACUUUUGUUUUCCUGCUGUUCAUAGCAAUAUCACCAGUGUUCAUCAAAAUUCAGGAACAGCCCCAUUAGGAUAUAGUGUUUUUAUUUUUAUUUUUUUUUAACCACUUAUGUUGUUGCUAUGGUAAGCUAUUAGGUAGAGGAUUAUAGAUUAUAUGGAGGGUUCUAUAUUGGCAAAUGUUUAUAAAUGUUAAGAUGCUCCACUUUCUGCCCUUUCUGUGUCAGGUGUUAGCUUCAUGCAAUAUCUCCUUUUCCUUAGUUGUAAAUUCAAUCUUGUCAUUCAUUUAUAUGCAGUCACUGCAUUUCUCUUCUCUGCAUGACCAAGGAUGAGAGGUAUGUCUCUUGAGCAAAUGUGCUCCGCUGAGAGAAUCCCCCUAAUUAAACUUUAGGGAAUGAAUUCACGUUA